GGUUGUAUUACAGUAAGCAAGGAAUAUUUGACCCUCAGACAGAUCCUUCCUUUCUCAACCAUAAGCCUUGCACCGGAAACAACCCAAUAACCGGGAGGUUCUUGUGGUCCUCGAGUCAUCUCAGAAGUAUCGACAAAUUUCAAGAGCUUAGGGGCUUGCACAGGAACGGGAGGACCACCAGGGUAAAUGGCGGAAUUUAUGUUCACAUCAGCUGGCUUUGGAGGUGGCUUCUGAGGGAGGUUCUUGAGGUCCUCGAGUCAUCUCAGUAGUAUCGACAAAUUUCAAGAGCUUAGGGGCUUGCACAGGAACGGGAGGACCACCAGGGUAAAUGGCGGAAUUUAUGUUCACAUCAGCUGGCUUUGGAGGUGGCUUCUGAACUGAUGUGAAGUGCUGGCUAAUGAGAGUUGAUAUCAGUCCAGAUUUGCGGGCCAACCCAGGGGAACCAUCCCACUCCGGGUGCUUUACCAUAGUAGCUCCCAUGACAGUCGAGAAACGGAGUCUCAG
This 504-nucleotide long non-coding RNA is filed under the name Nicotiana benthamiana. RNAcentral describes it as "long non-coding RNA (NBEN_LNC031634)". The record is from RNAcentral. Lineage: Eukaryota; Viridiplantae; Streptophyta; Magnoliopsida; Solanales; Solanaceae.